GUGUGCAUUCUGUGAGGAGUUGGUGCGCUGGUGCUGAGAGGACAGCUCCUUUCCUCCAGCUGUCUUCUAUCAGGAGGGGGCUGGCAAGGAGACAUCCUCUCCACCUCCUGGAGCCACCACACGAUCUUCUUCACCCUUCAGCUUGUACAUCGCUGGGAUCACACACUAUCCUCCAGGAGGUCGUGGGUUCUUUGUUUCUUCUCCUAUAUUUAAUGGCUACCGCCUGUUGUGUUUGUGACAUCCUUCCAGCAGCUGACAUAGAGGAAGAUGCUGUGAGAAAUGGACUGAGACAGACAUAGAAGAAUAACCGCCUUUUGGAGUUGGAGCAGGAAAAGCCAUUCAUAAAAAAACAGACAAGUAGUUUGCACUUCAAGAUCGAUCCUCGCCUUUGAUCCUUCCAGGGAUGAGGGCGAGAGGCUGGCACAUGCUAAUGGCACUUUAUUGGCUCUGUGUGUGAGGGCACAGUCUCCUUUCUUCUGCAACCCAUCCGCGUCAUGUGGCAUUCAGAGAUAUGGGCAAGAUCGAUGAGAAUGAGAGGAUAAUCCUCAAUGUAGGGGGCACCAGGCACGAAACAUAUCGGAGUACUCUGAAGACCGUGCCCGGGACCCGGUUGGCAUUACUAGCAUGCGAAUCUAACAGCGAUCCGGGACUGGACCAGCCACCGGUCCCAGGCUCCUUCCAGGCCACCUGUCGGGGCAAUGAGUUCUUCUUUGAUCGCCACCCAGGGGUCUUCGCCUAUGUCCUAAACUAUUAUCGCACUGGCAAACUUCACUGCCCGGCGGAUGUGUGCGGACCUUUGUUUGAGGAAGAACUGGCAUUUUGGGGUAUUGAUGAAACGGACGUAGAGCCCUGUUGCUGGAUGACUUAUCGCCAGCACCGAGAUGCGGAGGAAGCGCUAGAUAUCUUUGAGACCCCAGACUUGAUCACAGGGGAAGCUUCGCCUAUAGAUGAGGAUGAUGAGGAAUUGGGGAAGAGGCUGGGAAUAGAGGAUGUUGUGGGUCCUGAUGGGAAGGCUGGACGCUGGAAAAGGCUGCGGCGCCGUAUGUGGGCUUUAUUUGAAGAUCCUUAUUCUUCCAGAGCCGCUAGGUUCAUCGCCUUUGCUUCCUUGUUCUUCAUCUUGGUAUCAAUAACAACAUUUUGUCUGGAGACUCAUGAAGCAUUUAAUUCCAUCAUCAAUAAAACAGAACCUGUGAAUAAUGGCACAGAAAUGGUGUCAUUAAUUGAGAUAGAGACUGACCCUGCCUUGACAUAUGUUGAAGGAGUUUGUGUGGUAUGGUUUACAUUAGAAUUUUUAGUACGUGUAACUUUCUGUCCAAAUAAACUUGAAUUCGUCAGAAAUCUACUAAACAUUAUAGAUUUUGUGGCUAUAUUGCCAUUUUACCUGGAGGUUGGACUAAGUGGACUGUCCUCCAAAGCUGCUAAGGAUGUAUUAGGUUUCCUCAGGGUUGUAAGAUUUGUCCGUAUCCUCCGAAUUUUUAAACUAACCCGCCAUUUUGUAGGACUAAGAGUGCUUGGGCACACUCUUCGAGCUAGUACUAAUGAAUUUUUGCUUCUCAUAAUAUUUUUGGCUCUAGGAGUCUUAAUAUUUGCCACAAUGAUCUACUAUGCCGAGAGAAUAGGUGCCAGUCCAAAUGAUCCAUCAGCAAGCAAGCAUACACAGUUUAAAAAUAUUCCAAUUGGUUUCUGGUGGGCCGUGGUUACUAUGACUACCUUGGGGUAUGGUGACAUGUACCCUCAGACAUGGUCAGGAAUGUUGGUAGGAGCACUGUGUGCAUUGGCUGGUGUACUUACAAUUGCAAUGCCUGUUCCAGUCAUUGUUAACAAUUUUGGAAUGUACUACUCCCUUGCUAUGGCAAAACAGAAACUUCCACGGAAAAGAAAGAAAUACAUUCCUCAUGGACCUCAGGCUGGUAGUCCUACCUUCUGCAAGAUGGAUCUUAACAUAGGAUGUAACAGCACACAGGUGGAUGCAUGCCUUGGUAAAGACAACCGCUUGAUGGAGCACAACAUGUCAGGUGAGGAUAGUUCAGGAAGUGACCAGCCACUAUCACCAGGAGAAAGGCACCCGAUGAGACGCUCUAGCACCAGGGAAAAAAACAGAAGAGCAGGAACAUGUUUUCUCCUGACAGCAGGUGAAUACUCGUGCAAUACUGAUGGAGGGAUCCGUAAAGACUGAGUUGUUUGGAGCCAGAGACUAAACAUAGUGAAAAAUGAAGAACAAUAUUUGUUUCCUGUGAAAUGUCUUUAUAUAUUUUAUUUAUAAUUAUUAAACAUUUCUUUUAGUCCUAAUAAAAGAGUUUCAUUUGACAUUAUUUGUCCUAAUUUAAUAACCUGACAGGGUAAUAUUUACAGCUAUUUCGGUACUGACCAGUUCAGAAAACUGCUCUGUGUGAUAUACUGUAAAAUAUACUAAACCGGCUGGGUAAACAUUCAAAAUUAAACAGUAUCUUCAACACAAAUAAACACUCAGUAUAAAACACUAUUCCUUAGGAGGUUUUAGCAAAAGUGAUAAAACAUUGCACAGGCCUUUCUCUGGCUGCACCAAUCUCUGGUCUGGUAACAGAAUUGUUCUCAUAGUAAUGCUAUACUGGGUUCAAGAGAGAACAUAUAAAUGGAAAGACAAUGGGGGAGAUUUAUCAAAACCUGUCCAGAGGAAAAGUUGCUGAGUUGCCCAUAGCAACCAAUCAGAUCGCUUCUUUCAUUUUUGAAAAGGCCUGUGAAAAAUAAAAGAAGUGAUCUGAUUGGUUGCUAUGGGCAGCUCAGCAACUUUUCAUCUGGACAGGUUUUGUAAAUCUCCCCCAAUAUUUGUAAUUUUUGCUAUGUACUUGGACCACAGCUGGUAAGGCCCAACCUCCCCAAUUCUAGCUGGUGAGAAUUCAGUAGAAAAAGAUUGGGAAAUCCUGAGUUUUACCUAAAUUUCAACCAUAAAAGGCACUGUAUAAUAAGAAGUCAGAUCACAUUGUCUUUCUUGCAGGAUGUCAUACCAACAAUGUAUUAGCUUAGUGAAAAACAAAACAUCUCAAUGAGCUUGAUUAAAUAGCAAAAAGUGCAUUGGCAAUUUUACCAUGAAGAUUCCCCAAUCCAAUCUUGUUUCUUUUAUUAAGGUUAAUAGCGGGAUAUUUCAUAAUAUGGGGAACCGUUAUAAUGUAGCUGGGUACUGUUGUAAGGGCUACCAUUCUGAUCAUUACUUGAAAAAUUAGAAAUUAGACAUACAACUUAUUUUAUUAUAAUAGUAGUGAUGUGGGGAGUAUAAUACUUUUUGAGUGUGCCCCAAGGUUACUUCUGGAAAUAUGGUCCAUAUUCACUGUAGUGUAUUUGUAUUGAGGCCUUCAGUCUGUCCCCCGUAAGAUGAUUUUGGGGGAAAAAAGAGUUUGGUUUUCUGCGUGAAAUUUUUGUUUUUGGUAAGAUAAAAGCUAUAUGUCAGCUGCUUACCUCUUCUUUCCCUAUUCACCCUUUGGGUGAUAGUGUGUAAAUGGCACCUUAAGUUGGAAUAUGGAAAAUAGUGCUUAACACACCUGGAUUUUUUGCCAUUAAAAAAAGAAAAGACGAAAGGUGCAAAGGUGCAAUUGGUUAACUAUUGGAGUGGGUAGCAAGAAGACUGGGGCCAGCCAUACACAUUAGACACAUUAAACAUUGCUUUCAAAACUGAUUUCUACUGUAAUAAUCAAAUAAUGUAAAGCUCUAAAGAAAAUGUUACCAUAUGAAACUACAACUCCCAGUAUAACCUAAGCAGUGGUAAAUGUAUGCUAGAAACUAGAACUUACAAGUGACUAGAUCACUGAUUGAACAUAGUCAGGCAGAAUAUACAAUAAUAUCAGUGACUCUGUUCUUCUCCAUCUAUAAGCAGAUCCUCAUCCUCUAUAUAUUGACGAUAUUUAACAUAAUACUGCCAGACACUGACUGAAUUAUCUGAAUAUAACUCUGUCAAUUACUGUGCUCCCUGAAUAUAACCCUGCCACAUACUGUACACUCAAAAUGUAACUAUGCCACACAUUGUAAACUCUGAAUAUAACCUUGCAAGAUCCUGUACCCUCUGAAUUUAAUACUGCCACACACAACUCCAAAAAGCAGAUAUGACACUCCAAAAAAUCCAAUUAAAGGUUUUUAUUCACCCAUCAAUAAUAUAAAUAAAAUGCAAUGUUUAAAUCUCACAUGAGAUCUUUUCCAUUGUAAGAUUGAAACACUGUAGAUUGUACCAUUGGCAAAUAAAAAAACGUUGAUUGGUUUCAUAUUUUAUUGAUUCAUGGAUUGAAGCCUUUUGAAGCAGAGCACCCACUAGAUCAAGACAACAAGCCUCAGCACUGUUCUCAUGCUAGCUAUACUAUUUAUUGUACUGCUACACAAUGUGUCCUCUUAAUAUAACCCUGCCAGACACUGUACCUUUAGGAUAUAACACUGGCAUAUACUGUUCCUCUGAAAAUAACCCGGCUACACACUAUAACCCUACCACAAACGGUGCCCCUGAAUAUAACCCUGACAGGCACUGUGUCCCUGAAUGCAACUCUGCCAUACACUUUACCCCCUUGAAAUCUAUGUUGAAACACAUUAUACCCUCUAAAUGCAGUUUUCUUCCUGUACCCACUGAAUAUAACUAUGUUACACACUGUGCCCUUUGAACAUAAGCCUCUCAAACUCUGUACUCCUUGAGUAUGAUUCUGCCAGAGACUGCACAAAUAUUUUCCCUUGUUCUGUCCCAAAAGUAAUGGUACCCUCUUAUGUACCUCUCAUAUUAAUAGUGUUAUUCUCAGCUCACCCAAACAAUAAUAGUACCAUUUCUAGUUCCCACAAAGUAAUAAUUCUCCUCAUAAUUCACCACACAUAGUGGAGAUCAUUGUGUCUUUUUGUCCUCCGCAUAGUAAAUAUGACUAAUGUUGUGCCCCCCUACAAAGUUAUAAUGCUCCUGUGGUAGCCCUUGGGGGGUGUAUGGUAGUGGUGGUAUGGUAUAGGUAUAUAAGAGGUUAAUGUUAACCCUAGAGUUCGUGACGCCAGGCUGAGGGCUGGUAUGCUGAAUCAGUGUUCCGGCCUAUUGCCGCCCUUCCCAAUAACGAUAGGUGCAUAAAAUAACUAAAGGUCCACAAGGAGAUUUGAACUUUAACUUUAAUAAUGUUUACUGAAGUGCUUGCAAUAUUCACGGCACAGUAACAGUCUCAUACAAACAGUCCGUUGGUUACUUAGCGACUGGCAGUAGUUGCGGACCUUAAUUUAGGAAGAGAUUUGCAGAUCCGUCCUGAUUUAGGGGAGGUACUCGGUCCGGAGAUGCUGCAGAGUGUUUGGGAGGUGAUACACUCUAUAAUUAUAAUUGUUCAGCCGUUGCCGCAAGGCUCGGGCCAAACUCACUGCGACUUCUGCUGUACAGGUCUUGCCUGCUUGACAGCCCACGAGGUAAGAGAGAGAAACAUGGCCACCGCUCCCUUAUAUGGGCAGGGGGCGUGGCGAAUCUGAUUGGUCCGAACGUCUGCCAUUCACCUUACAUGGUGUGAUGGGAUUGCUUACAUCACAGGAUCUAUAUACAUUAUAAAACCAAAACGAGGCUAGAGAUACCAAAGUGAGACCUGGAAUGCAUCCAAAGUGAGGCUUGGAACGCAUCACAUGACCCGAAGGCCCUGCGACACCAUGGAAACAAGCACUUCUUCCUCCACAAAACAGCUUUAUCAGUUCUUUUAAAGAAAAAAAAAAUCUUGGGGCAGGGAGCACGAACUGAAGUCAUCUGGCUAUGUGCACUAAAUUCACAAAGUGGGCUACAGUUUGUCCAUGGCUCCAUUACUCAGAAGUAAAGGUACAGCGGACGCAUAUGCUGGUUUGGGAUUAACCCAGUAAUGCAAUGAUACCGAAGGAGCCAACACUCUCACAGAAGCACCGCUACAUCUCUUUCCAGUACUUUGUACCUAAGAGUAAGAAUGUCUUUGGCUUCAUCCAUGUUACCUAAAGUCAACCAGGCAGAGGUAUUGGAGAAGGUGAAAUUGUGCCAAGUGGAAAGCAAUGAAAAUGAAGGAUACAGUGUGAUGAUGAAGUAUUACAAUGAACUAACAGCAUGGAAGGGGAGGUGAAAAUGCAAGUGUUAGGACAUCUGCUCCAGCAAAUGUGGAAUGACAGAAGAGAAGAGCAAAGAAUGCUACUUUCUCAUGUAGACUAAAAUCAGGAUCACUAACAAUGUGACGAUUGCUGACAAAAUACUGCACAGGGCCUGGGAACAUUUCAAGAAGAAGCUCGGUGCUUGUCUUGAGAAGGGAGGAGAAACUUGUAAAGUCACCAAGUUUGUAUCAGUUCUCAGGGUACUCAAAAACAGGCAGGCAAGAGUAUGACUGUGGGUGGCAGUGGGGCCCCAUGUGCAUAUCAAGUGUAGCAUUAUUUUUUCACUCAACCAAAGGAUGUCUGUGACCAACUUCAGGGUAUGUAAACAGCAGUAAAAUUGUCACUUCCUUGGAAAACGUUUUGGAAACUCUCGUUAUUGACACAUAUGUAGCAUCUUCACAGUAUCCUAAAGAGAAAGAAUGUUCAAAAAGACUUUUCAUAUAUGCUUGCCUUUCUGAGUCCAUUUUAAAUUACCAGACUAACAAUUAAUGACUAACAAUUAAUUAAUGUUGUCCUGUUAGUUCUUGCAGUUUUUUUUGUUGGUGUUAGUUAUGCUGCUAUGGGCAGCAAACAUGAUUCUCCUGCAAUGAUGAAUCUAAAGCAGUGGUUCUCAACCAUUUUCAUUACUGUACCCCCAAAGGGUGAAAGUAUGUGCGUGGGUACAGAGGGAGGGGAGAAGAAUGGCACAAGGGGAUUAAGAUGGGGUGGGGGAGGAUUAUGAUUACCCCCCUCCUUAUGAAUUCCCUUUUUCCAUUAUUCCCCCCCUCCCUCUGAUCCCCUUUUGCCAUUAUCCCCCUCUAUCUUAAACCCCUUUUGCCAUUAUCCCCCCCUCCAUCUUAAUCCCCUUGUGCCAUUAUUCUCCACUCCGAUCCCCCUGUGCCAAUAUAUGAGAUACAAACAAUAACACCCUUAGUUUAACAUGCUUAGUUUAACAUGCUUAACAGUCUUGUGUCUAUCCCGUUCGGUGGGAGUCGAGGACCGCACUGACGGUUGACUUCCUUCUGCACUGUGUCGGCACCUCAAUGCAACGUCUGUACGGCGUCCAAUCUUUGCUCUGGCUGACAAAUACUGUCCAAUGCAUGGCCGAUAUUUGUCAGCGAAUUGCCGUACCCCCGCAUAACCCUUGGGAUACCCCUGGUUGAGAACCCCUGAUCUAAAGGACACAUAGGCAUUUCUUCCACAAAUCCUGCUUUAAGAAUUUUUGGGACAUUAAGUAACAAAUUAUUCCAUUAUGGAAACUUAACUUGCAUUUUAGAGUUUCCUCAGAAAGAUAAUAUAAACAUUUUUUGACAGUAAGACUAGAGGACAAAAUUAUGAGUUUUGAGAGAGUGAAGCAGACUCCAAGAGCCUUGUACCAUGGAAUAAACUAGCUUAGUUUGCCAUGCAGAUCCUGGCUUAUUCCUCUGCAGGCCUUUUUUUCUGUCAGAUCUAAAAUAUGCUCAGAGCUCAAGCCACAACAUACAUGCCAUGCAUGCCUUCUCCCUCCUUCAUCCCUCCUUGCAAUGCAUAAUUGAUCAGUCCUGUAUUUUAAUCAAUCAAGGCAAGGAGGGGUGGGAGAGGGAGGAGGCAUGCAUGCUGUGGCUUGGCAUCGCCACCUUGACACUUCAGCUCUGAGCGUGAUAUAGAUAUGGUAUAAAAGGACAAAUUACCUUUAAUUCUAAAUAUAAUAUAAAAAAUAUGCACUGCAGUACAUCAACAAAAGAGCUGUACUAUAAGUCAUACUAAAGGAAGCAGUUAUACCAUAAAAGUGUUUAAAUUUUGAUGUGUUAAAAUUUGGAUUUUUGAAAUAAAGACGCUAAAUGUUUAAAGAGUGUUGAAACAGCUUUCUGUUUUACUUAGGAAGCAGUUAUAGUUUGUUCUAUUGGGUUCAGAUCAGGAUAUUUUCCUUACCAAGUCACCAACUGAAUUAAAUUUACUGUGAACCAU
Hyla sarda is the source of this 7998-nucleotide RNA transcript. It is a transcript of the gene named potassium voltage-gated channel subfamily C member 2, with no coding region annotated. The record is from RefSeq and is a predicted model, not a curated record. Lineage: Eukaryota; Metazoa; Chordata; Amphibia; Anura; Hylidae. The transcript is spliced from 6 exons.